RNAcentral lists this ribosomal RNA (566 nucleotides) under uncultured bacterium. RNAcentral describes it as "partial 16S ribosomal RNA". It matches the Rfam family "Bacterial small subunit ribosomal RNA", at positions 355 to 914 of the family's 1533-position model. The record is from RNAcentral.
UGGGGAAUUUUGGACAAUGGGCGAAAGCCUGAUCCAGCAAUGCCGCGUGUGUGAAGAAGGCCUUCGGGUUGUAAAGCACUUUUGUCCGGAAAGAAAUCCUUGGCUCUAAUACAGUCGGGGGAUGACGGUACCGGAAGAAUAAGCACCGGCUAACUACGUGCCAGCAGCCGCGGUAAUACGUAGGGUGCAAGCGUUAAUCGGAAUUACUGGGCGUAAAGCGUGCGCAGGCGGUUUGCUAAGACCGAUGUGAAAUCCCCGGGCUCAACCUGGGAACUGCAUUGGUGACUGGCAGGCUAGAGUAUGGCAGAGGGGGGUAGAAUUCCACGUGUAGCAGUGAAAUGCGUAGAGAUGUGGAGAAAUACCGAUGGCGAAGGCAGCCCCCUGGGCCAAUACUGACGCUCAUGCACGAAAGCGUGGGGAGCAAACAGGAUUAGAUACCCUGGUAGUCCACGCCCUAAACGAUGUCAACUAGUUGUUGGGGAUUCAUUUCCUUAGUAACGUAGCUAACGCGUGAAGUUGACCGCCUGGGGAGUACGGUCGCAAGAUUAAAACUUAAAGGAAUUGAC